UACGGAGGGUGCAAGCGUUAAUCGGAUUUACUGGGCGUAAAGCGCGCGUAGGCGGCUUGUUAAGUCGGAUGUGAAAGCCCCGGGCUCAACCUGGGAACUGCACUCGAUACUGGCAAGCUAGAGUACGAUAGAGGGUGGUAGAAUUCCUAGUGUAGCGGUGAAAUGCGUAGAUAUUAGGAGGAAUACCGGUGGCGAAGGCGGCCACCUGGAUCGAUACUGACGCUGAGGUGCGAAAGCGUGGGGAGCAAACAGG
Molecule: ribosomal RNA, 253 nt
Filed under: uncultured bacterium
Lineage: Bacteria
Description: partial 16S ribosomal RNA
Rfam family: Bacterial small subunit ribosomal RNA
Source: RNAcentral